Molecule: long non-coding RNA, 347 nt
Filed under: Mytilus galloprovincialis (Mediterranean mussel)
Lineage: Eukaryota; Metazoa; Mollusca; Bivalvia; Mytilida; Mytilidae
Source: RNAcentral
CCCGACACAAACUUUAUGGGACCUGGUGCAAAUCUCCAUAACCGAGAGAAUAUUAAUGGAACACAAAUACCUUGAUCCAUAUCAGUCUAUAGACUCAAGCUGUAUUCACCGUUUCUAAAGUGUUAAACACUUGACCCUUACCUUACAUCUCAAAUAUGUCAAUUAACGACGAACCGAAAUAUUGUUCUUUCUAUUAACCCGGCCUUCAGAAGACCAACCAGGACGUGUACCGCAUCUAAAAGGUCUAGCAAAGGUAAACUUCGAUAGGAAUCAAAGAGCUACACUAAAAAAAAGAGGGUACUCCUAGUCAAUCAAUUAUUGGAAUAGACAACCAGACCAAACAGUAU